This 1532-nucleotide long non-coding RNA is filed under the name Cricetulus griseus (Chinese hamster). RNAcentral describes it as "lncRNA (ENSCGRG00015038711.1)". The record is from RNAcentral. Lineage: Eukaryota; Metazoa; Chordata; Mammalia; Rodentia; Cricetidae.
GGCAGACUCAGAAUAUAACCAGGGAUAAGCAGGAAAUCUCUCUCUUCUUUCCCCUUUCUUCUCUGUGGAGCUGCCAUGUGAUCACGGGUAUCUGAUAUGUGGCCCCUGUGAAAGGGUCAUCCGACUCCAAAGGGGUUGAGACCCACAAGUUGAGAACUGCUGAUUUAGGCACCGUAGCCCUGCAGGUGCUUCUGGAUGGGUGUGCACUGUGAUCAGUUACCUACUGGAUUUGGUGGAAAGGAUCCAUUAUCUAAGGCCCACACAACACAGGAUACAGAGACAUCCAGAAAAAUGACACCAAAGGAAGAGACAUCUGGAGGGAUGUCUCAGACUAUCCUUGAAUGACAGGUGUCAGUCAUCUCCAAGGAAAGAGAUGAUAAAGAAAAGCAUUUGAAUCUAACUUAAAAGGGAAGAGCACUUAAAGCUCCAUCUGAAAGAUCUUCACAGCCAUAGGAGAUGAAAACAGAAACGUCUGUCUGCAGCCGCUGAUGGCUGAGGAUGACAGAGAGGAUGUUCAUUAGCAGAGACAGCUAACGCUCUGUGUAUGUCAGAGGCAGAAGACUGGAAACCUCUGGGAGGCCAUGUACAAGUAGGAAAACAUGGUAGAUAAGAGACACGACCUUCAGUUUCCAUUCUGCAGAUUAAACAAUGGAAGCCUCCCAUGAGGCCAAGUGUCACCUCUUCAUUGUUAAUUUCGGCUGCUGCUGUAUCCUGCUGAACAAGGGUCUACCCACACUCCUCUAGGGUUUAAUCUACUGCUUUGGGAGUGUGUCUUACGGGUAUGAUCUUCAUAGUUAGAUGGCUCUGGACCUGUUAACAAUGGGGAAACUAGUUUGGAAAUACCAGGCUGUUUCAGUGUUGUAGUCUGAGUGUGAAAUGGUACACACAUGUGUUUGAACACUUGGGGAACCUGUGGGCAGAGGGGCUUCCCAGGGGAAGUUGGCCACUGGGAGCAGGCCAUGAGGUUUUGUAGUUCAGCAGCAGCACUUCCCGGUCUCCGGUCUCCUCUCUGCUUCUGGGAUGUGAGCACCGUGUGACCAGCGGCCUGCCAUUCCUGCCUUAAGGAAACAGGCCUUUCUUAGUCUGAGUUGCUUUUGUCUGGCAUUUUGUCACAACACUGAGAAAAGUUACUGAGAAAUGAUGCCUUAGCUUUGACUCAAUGGUAUGUGAGAAGUGAGGGCUGGCUCUUCACCAUAUGGAUGACAGGAGAGAAACGAGGAGCAGUCUAAAGUUCAGGACCGUCUCCACCCAUCUCUAGAACUUCUGGAAUACACCAGUACGACUAACCUGGGCAUGCUUCUCACUUUCUCACCCUUAAUCCUGUCUGACAAAAGAAAACCUUCACAUUCUUGAGGUAAAUACUUUUAGUGGGAGCCACAAAGACUGUUAAUAGCAACAAAGAAACACCCGAGCUUUGGAGGAAAAAAAAAAAAAAAAACACCCCAAAACCCUAAAACCAAAACUAAACCAAAAACAACAAACAAAUAGGUUUACUGAAUGUACCUGCCUGAUGCCUUGGUUAGUAUUUUGUU